This 38-nucleotide ribosomal RNA is filed under the name Meyerozyma guilliermondii. RNAcentral's name for it is "partial 26S ribosomal RNA". Lineage: Eukaryota; Fungi; Ascomycota; Pichiomycetes; Serinales; Debaryomycetaceae. The record is from RNAcentral.
CCGGCCUUACAACAACCAAACAAGUUUGACCUCAAAUC